This 679-nucleotide long non-coding RNA is filed under the name Vulpes vulpes (red fox). RNAcentral's name for it is "lncRNA (ENSVVUG00000013795.1)". Lineage: Eukaryota; Metazoa; Chordata; Mammalia; Carnivora; Canidae. The record is from RNAcentral.
CCUUCUUCCUGCCACCAGUUCUGUCUCUAAAAUAUAGAACUGAUUGUCACUGUUGCUCAAAAAAUAUUUUUAUCUACUUCUUCCCUUUCAGGGAACAGAAUCCAAAAAUUUCCCAGCUGCCUCCCUCUCAGCUCUUUCCUGUUGGGCCCAGGAUUGUUCUUAUCACAGUCUCACUGGUUGACACGUCUUUCUCUUGCUCCUAAGAGGCAAUUUCGGACGUCCUGAUCUUUAGCAUGGAGCUCUGCACACCUAAGCAUGGUGGCUUGAAAAGGGAGAUGAAUGUCUGAAAUGAAAAUCUCAACUGAUUCAGAGAUAAAGAAUAUAAAAUCAGUACUUCUGGGAACGAGCCGCAUUAGUCUUCCUCUCUGCAGACCUACUUGCAUUCCAAGAAUAUUUUUCAUCUCUAUCAAAAGCAAGAGUCCUUUGGGCAUUAAAGAAGUUGUUGACAGUGAUAAAAAGCUGCAAAGUGAGAAAACCAAAACUAUUUUCCACAUCUCCCUAUUUCAUGGCUCCCUAGCCAAAAUACUUAAGGUACUCCAAUCACUAAAAUGUGCAGAUAUCUAUAUGUACGACAUCUAAAAGUCAAUGUCCCAAGGGAGAAUAAUGUAUCCACAUUGAAUCGUUACACUGAAGUGGAAAGCAAGAGUUUUGAAAUUCUAAGUCACAAUUGCCAUUAAUU